UUCNUGAGUUUCCCAUCGUUCGGGGCAUUCUGGGGCUGUUUUGGCUAUUGGUUGCUUGUUCGGUCUUGAGCUGAGCGGGGGGCUUCUAGUCGGGUGGCUUCGGGGAUGUUGUCCGUAAAGGUGGAUGAGUGGUGUUUGGUUUGUUACGUGUGGUUGGCUGCGGCGUUUGCAACAACUUCCAUGCUCUCAGACCUCUUCAGUUGUGCGGCAAGGCUUGUAUCGCCUUGAGCGUAUCGUGGGUUUUCUGUGUUGGCUACCUAAUCGACGGUAUCGUNUGGAUUGAUCAAAGUGUGAUUUCGUCUUCCGUCGCGUUUGCGGCGUGAGGUGAACCUUGAUGCGGUCUCUUUGAUCCAUCUCGUCAAAGCANAUGCUUUGACGUUGUGGCACAUUGGGCAUUGCUUGGUCUCUUGUGUACGGAACACGUAGCGGGCAUGGAUCUAACGAUUCUUGUUUGCCCUCAUAUUAGCGUAACGCUUCUCAAACACGACUUGCAUCGCGUUUNAG
Molecule: unclassified non-coding RNA, 504 nt
Filed under: Artemisia campestris
Lineage: Eukaryota; Viridiplantae; Streptophyta; Magnoliopsida; Asterales; Asteraceae
Description: partial external transcribed spacer
Source: RNAcentral